RNAcentral lists this non-coding RNA (94 nucleotides) under Actinobacteria bacterium OK074. RNAcentral describes it as "Streptomyces RNA 3202". It matches the Rfam family "Streptomyces RNA 3202". Rfam says of the family: Identified by deep sequencing of transcriptome at the end of exponential growth phase. Appears smaller on northern blot than sequencing transcript. The record is from Rfam by way of RNAcentral. Lineage: Bacteria; Bacillati; Actinomycetota; Actinomycetes.
CCAAGUCCCAACGCACUCCCCCCGAGCGGCGGGACCUUCCCCGAGCCGGACUCCGGCGCCUCACCCCCCCUUGGCGCCGGGGUCCGGCUCCAUA